UCUCUACUGUAGUAUUUUGUAAAAACUUACACCUUGCAGGCAAAAGAUGAAGCUUGAAAAAUCUAUAGCGCCCGCAGUUUCACCUUCGAAAUGAUGACCAGAAAAUUCUCAGCAGGUUCGAGAAACAAUGCGGAAUUGAGAAAUGGGUUGAUGAUGUUCAGAUUUGCAAUGCCUGGAUUAAACGCUUUCAUUCAUAUCAAGCACCCCAAAAUGAAGCAACAAUCCCAGUUUCCUCAGCAAAAGAAUCACCUAUUGCAUGCGUUCACCUGCCUUGAACCACUCUGUAAUUGAGAACCAAAUCCUCUGGCUUCUUCCAGAUGUAAUUCCUAACUGUAGCUAAACAUGACUGGAUUAAACGCUUUCAUUCAUAUCAAGCACCCCAAAAUGAAGCAACAAUCCCAGUUUCCUCAGCAAAAGAAUCACCUAUUGCAUGCGUUCACCUGCCUUGAACCACUCUGUAAUUGAGAACCAAAUCCUCUGGCUUCUUCCAGAUGUAAUUCCUAACUGUAGCUAAACAUGA
This 520-nucleotide unclassified non-coding RNA is filed under the name Hevea brasiliensis (rubber tree). Lineage: Eukaryota; Viridiplantae; Streptophyta; Magnoliopsida; Malpighiales; Euphorbiaceae. The record is from RNAcentral.